Molecule: ribosomal RNA, 641 nt
Filed under: Shigella sonnei
Lineage: Bacteria; Pseudomonadati; Pseudomonadota; Gammaproteobacteria; Enterobacterales; Enterobacteriaceae
Description: partial 23S ribosomal RNA
Rfam family: Bacterial large subunit ribosomal RNA
Source: RNAcentral
GGGGAGCAGCCCAGAGCCUGAAUCAGUGUGUGUGUUAGUGGAAGCGUCUGGAAAGGCGCGCGAUACAGGGUGACAGCCCCGUACACAAAAAUGCACAUAUUGUGAGCUCGAUGAGUAGGGCGGGACACGUGGUAUCCUGUCUGAAUAUGGGGGGCCCAUCCUCCAAGGCUAAAUACUCCUGACUGACCGAUAGUGAACCAGUACCGUGAGGGAAAGGCGAAAAGAACCCCGGCGAGGGGAGUGAAAAAGAACCUGAAACCGUGUACGUACAAGCAGUGGGAGCACGCUUAGGCGUGUGACUGCGUACCUUUUGUAUAAUGGGUCAGCGACUUAUAUUCUGUAGCAAGGUUAACCGAAUAGGGGAGCCGAAGGGAAACCGAGUCUUAACUGGGCGUUAAGUUGCAGGGUAUAGACCCGAAACCCGGUGAUCUAGCCAUGGGCAGGUUGAAGGUUGGGUAACACUAACUGGAGGACCGAACCGACUAAUGUUGAAAAAUUAGCGGAUGACUUGUGGCUGGGGGUGAAAGGCCAAUCAAACCGGGAGAUAGCUGGUUCUCCCCGAAAGCUAUUUAGGUAGCGCCUCGUGAAUUCAUCUCCGGGGGUAGAGCACUGUUUCGGCAAGGGGGUCAUCCCGACUUACC